CUGUUUUGGUCUCUCUUCUUCAUGCUUCGAUCUACAUCAACAAGCCCCUACCAAUUACAGUUUUAUAAAUUACCAAAAAUGGAUCAGCUGGACAGAGUUAGAAUUUUAGCUGUUAAUUGUUCCAGGAGAGUUUCAAAUGUGGAAAGGCUACUCUUCAAGGAUGCUUGGGUGUGUAGUCCAAAAUCCAGGCUCGAUGAUGUCACAAUGAUCUACAAUCACCGUCAGAGAUCUUUGAACAGAAUCUCCACCUUCAGUGUCCUGUAUCUCUCCCACCUGAGAGACAAAUAGAUAGAAUAGAAUUAAAAAGUUAUGUUCAGCUUUGACAAGGAUAUUUGAUGGAUGAAAAGAACCAUACACAAAUGAGUGCAGGCAAAUUUCAGUAGAGACUACCUAAAUUCAGCAUCUUAAAUCCAAUGUAAAACGGAAACACAUUUGUGCAUCCUUAGUGACAGUGAAAA
Telopea speciosissima is the source of this 458-nucleotide long non-coding RNA. RefSeq lists it as uncharacterized. Lineage: Eukaryota; Viridiplantae; Streptophyta; Magnoliopsida; Proteales; Proteaceae. The transcript has 2 exons. The record is from RefSeq and is a predicted model, not a curated record.